This 2095-nucleotide long non-coding RNA is filed under the name Triticum aestivum (bread wheat). Its description in RNAcentral is "long non-coding RNA (TAES_LNC003620)". Lineage: Eukaryota; Viridiplantae; Streptophyta; Magnoliopsida; Poales; Poaceae. The record is from RNAcentral.
CUGCUCCUUUUCAAUGCCAACAAGGGAAGGGCCGACGAGGAGAACAGGGUCCCUACACCAACAUGUUAGGUUUCCCUGGCUGCUCGGUAGUUCUCGGACCGCUGCCUAAUUUUCCUUGGUCUCGUAGGUAACUGGCGCAACCACUGUAACUUGAGACGGUGGACUGGAGGAAGGAUCAUGAGAACAACUACACAAUGUUAUGGAUGGACAGGAUGAUGGUAAGUAAUUCUUGAGUAUGAUAGCAUGUCAUCUAGCUCAACCAUGUUGACUUUGAAUAAAAUCUUGAGCUAUCUCAGUUUCUCCAUACCUUGCAAGACAUUUGGUGAGUACAUUUGAGAAACCAUACAAGGUUUCUCUGUAUUCACCUUCUAUCAUGCUGCCCUUUCACACUAUGAUCUUGUUUAGAUGCACACCGCUCACUUUUUAAGAAAAUGUGUGAUGUAAAUACUGGGGAUGUGGAUAUAUAAUGUAUGUAAAUGUGGCUGAAACAAAUUAUUGUAAAUUGCAGAAUGUUCUAUUGUUUCAUAAGGAUAAACCAGGAUAUUUUAUUUACCAUGUAUUAUUUGUCACCGAGUAAUGAUCUGGGGUUGUGUGUGUAGGGAGGGUGAAUCAGAUCUAGGAGCACAUUGACUACGAGGUUUGUCGACAUGACAAGUACCGUAUGUGUGUCUACUCGUCCAACCUGAUAAUUCUCCAUUUGGUCACCUUUGAUUGAUAUCCUCCAAAAUAGGAGGAGAUUCUGCUUUUGCUAAAUCUCCUUGUGUAUGUGCUUCUUGCACCUAUUGAUGCUACAAGUUAAGUAAUCAGAUGAGCCCUUCAUGUGUUGUAUGCAAGAUUCCAACAUGUUCUUCAUUUUGUUCUGAUGCAACAGUCAGCUGGAUGCGGGAGAAUCAAUGCACAUAAACUUGUUCUUUCUCUAUUUAAAAGCAUUGAAGAUCAUAAUAUUACGCACUAUCAAUUUGUUUUUUCUUGGCAAUCGGUAUUGCUAAUACCCCUUUCGGUCUUUAACAUUUGUUUUUUCUCGUGGACACAUGUAUGAACACUUCACCUGUCUUCAUUCUUUCUAGAUCUCAUAAGUAGUAAUUUCUUAAAGAUUGUAUAACCUGUAUACUUCACUUUAAUUCAUGUGUGACAACAGUAAAGGAAAUCAUCUGAUGAACUGUUCACGAUAUAAUUUUUUAUAGGCUUAGAUUUAAUUAAGGUCUAUCUAUUGUAGUUUAAGCUUGAACAUAUCAUUAGGGCUAGUUCUUGUGGUGUUUUUUGGGCUUCUAGAAUAAGUUGCCCCUUACCCAGCUUAUUUUAGAAGCCCAACCAUAUAGUGUCAAAAACACUCUUAUAUUAUGGGAUGGAGGGAGUAGGCUUCUAAGCAAAUAAUUUUCUAGAAUAAGCUAGGUAGGGGGCAACCUAUUCCAGUUUUUCUAGAAGGCAGCAAAAGAACUGGCCUUUAGUAAUUAGUAUGAUCUUCUGAUGUUGGAGUCUCGAGGUGGAGAGUUUACACAAUAUGAUAUAAUAUGAAUUUUAACUUACUAGUGUUCAAUAUUUCUAACCUGAUUUAUGGAAGAAACAAAAGCUAGGCCACACAGCCACAUAAAGUCCUCUAAAAUGUUCACUGCUUGCAUCCAUGUGACUUCCUUAUAUACACUAUCUGCAUUCUACUCUCAGCUUGCUGCAUUUUUCUUAUUUCAUGUUAUGCUUAAUUUGCUUCUAAUGUAUUGUCCCUCCCUAUGGCAGGACGAAACACUUCUUGGAAUUCUUAAAGAGGAAGUCAAUGGAGCCAUGCUGUUGUUGUGCAACAGGCUAUGUUUUUCGUAAUACCAUUUGUCUGGGCUGUGUAAUCUUAGUUUGUGUGUGCUGGGAUACUCAAAAAGCUAUCUAUCUAAUAUAAAUCUGUAUUAUGUUGUCUAGCCUCUGUAAUCUUAUUUUGUGUGUGCUGGGAUAUUAAAAAAGCUAUCUGUCUAAUUUAAAUAUGUGAUGUAUUCUUCACUUAACUUUACUUGUAGUACAGUUUCUAGUCUAAAAAUGCUAAACGACCUUUUUUGAGCUAAAAAAGGCUAAAUGGCCUAAUAAUACAUAAUGGAUCGGACAUGGGCUUUGG